Molecule: ribosomal RNA, 305 nt
Filed under: uncultured bacterium
Lineage: Bacteria
Description: bacterial SSU rRNA
Rfam family: Bacterial small subunit ribosomal RNA
Source: RNAcentral
CCUACGGGGGGCAGCAGUGAGGAAUAUUGGUCAAUGGUCGGGAGACUGAACCAGCCAAGCCGCGUGAGGGAGGAAGGUACAGAGUAUCGUAAACCUCUUUUGUCAGGGAACAAAGACUGGGACGCGUCCCCGGAUGAGUGUACCUGAAGAAAAAGCAUCGGCUAACUCCGUGCCAGCAGCCGCGGUAAUACGGAGGAUGCGAGCGUUAUCCGGAUUUAUUGGGUUUAAAGGGUGCGUAGGCGGAAGGUUAAGUCAGCGGUCAAAUGUCGGUGCUCAACACCGGCCUGCCGUUGAAACUGGUCUUC